This 492-nucleotide ribosomal RNA is filed under the name uncultured bacterium. RNAcentral describes it as "partial 16S ribosomal RNA". It matches the Rfam family "Bacterial small subunit ribosomal RNA", at positions 29 to 507 of the family's 1533-position model. The record is from RNAcentral.
AGUGAACGCUGGCGGUAGGCCUAACACAUGCAAGUCGAACGGCAGCACAGUAAGAGCUUGCUCUUACGGGUGGCGAGUGGCGGACGGGUGAGGAAUACAUCGGAAUCUACUUUUUCGUGGGGGAUGACGUAGGGAAACUUACGCUAAUACCGCAUACGACCUACGGGUGAAAGCAGGGGAUCUUCGGACCUUGCGCGAUUGAAUGAGCCGAUGUCGGAUUAGCUAGUUGGCGGGGUAAAGGCCCACCAAGGCGACGAUCCGUAGCUGGUCUGAGAGGAUGAUCAGCCACACUGGAACUGAGACACGGUCCAGACUCCUACGGGAGGCAGCAGUGGGGAAUAUUGGACAAUGGGCGCAAGCCUGAUCCAGCCAUACCGCGUGGGUGAAGAAGGCCUUCGGGUUGUAAAGCCCUUUUGUUGGGAAAGAAAAGCAGCAGGUUAAUACCCCGCUGUUCUGACGGUACCCAAAGAACAAGCACCGGCUAACUUCGUG